Molecule: ribosomal RNA, 440 nt
Filed under: uncultured bacterium
Lineage: Bacteria
Description: partial 16S ribosomal RNA
Rfam family: Bacterial small subunit ribosomal RNA
Source: RNAcentral
CCUACGGGCGGCAGCAGUGGGGGAUAUUGCACAAUGGGGGGAACCCUGAUGCAGCGACGCCGCGUGGGUGAAGGAGUGUUUCGGUGUGUAAAGCUCUAUCGGCAGGGAAGAAGAUGACGAUACCUGAUUAAGCAGCCCCGGCUAACUACGUGCCAGCAGCCGCGGUAAUACGUAGGGGGCGAGCGUUAUCCGGAUUUACUGGGUGUAAAGGGAGCGUAGACGGCCAUGCAAGCCAGGAGUGAAAGCCCGGGGCCCAACCCCGGGACUGCCCUUGGAACUGCGUGGCUGGAGUGCGGGAGGGGCAGGCGGAAUUCCUGGUGUAGCGGUGAAAUGCGUAGAUAUCAGGAGGAACACCAGCGGCGAAGGCGGCCUGCUGGACCGCGACUGACGUUGAGGCUCGAAAGCGUGGGGAGCGAACAGGAUUAGAUACCCGUGUAGUC